Molecule: ribosomal RNA, 254 nt
Filed under: uncultured bacterium
Lineage: Bacteria
Description: partial 16S ribosomal RNA
Rfam family: Bacterial small subunit ribosomal RNA
Source: RNAcentral
UACGGGGGGGGCAAGCGUUGUCCGGAAUUAUUGGGCGUAAAGAGCUCGUAGGCGGUCUGUCGCGUCUGCCGUGAAAACCCGAGGCUUAACCUCGUGGCUUGCGGUGGAUACGGGCAGACUAGAGGUAGGUAGGGGAGAAUGGAAUUCCCGGUGUAGCGGUGAAAUGCGCAGAUAUCGGGAGGAACACCGGUGGCGAAGGCGGUUCUCUGGGCCUUACCUGACGCUGAGGAGCGAAAGCGUGGGGAGCGAACAGG